ACUGCUCAGUAACACGUGGAUAACCUGCCCUUGGGUCCGGCAUAACCCCGGGAAACUGGGGAUAAUACCGGAUAACGCACAUAUGCUGGAAUGCUUUAUGCGUAAAAUGGAUUCGUCUGCCCAAAGAUGGGUCUGCGGCCUAUCAGGUAGUAGUGGGUGUAAUGUACCUACUAGCCAACAACGGGUACGGGUCGUGAGAGCAAGAGCCCGGAGAUGGAUUCUGAGACAUGAAUCCAGGCCCUACGGGGCGCAGCAGGCGCGAAAACUUUACAAUGCGGGAAACCGUGAUAAGGGGACACCGAGUGCCAGCAUCAUAUGCUGGCUGUCCGGGUGUGUAAAAUACACCUGUCAGCAAGGGCCGGGCAAGACCGGUGCCAGCCGCCGCGGUAACACCGGCGGCCCGAGUGGUGAUCGUGAUUAUUGGGUCUAAAGGGUCCGUAGCCGGUUUGGUCAGUCCUCCAGGAAAUCUGACGGCUCAACCGUUAGGCUUUCGGGGGAUACUGCCAGGCUUGGAACCGGGAGAGGUAAGAGGUACUACAGGGGUAGGAGUGAAAUCUUGUAAUCCCUGUGGGACCACCUGUGGCGAAGGCGUCUUACCAGAACGGGUUCGACGGUGAGGGACGAAAGCUGGGGGCACGAACCGGAUUAGAUACCCGGGUAGUCCCAGCCGUAAACGAUGCUCGCUAGGUGUCAGGCAUGGCGCGACCGUGUCUGGUGCCGCAGGGAAGCCGUGAAGCGAGCCACCUGGGAAGUACGGCCGCAAGGCUGAAACUUAAAGGAAUUGGCGGGGGAGCAC
Molecule: ribosomal RNA, 796 nt
Filed under: uncultured archaeon
Lineage: Archaea
Description: bacterial SSU rRNA
Rfam family: Archaeal small subunit ribosomal RNA
Source: RNAcentral